GACGAACGCUGGCGGCGUGCUUAACACAUGCAAGUCGAACAGAAAGGCCCUGCUUUUGUGGGGUGCUCGAGUGGCGAACGGGUGAGUAACACGUGAGUAACCUGCCCUUGACUUUGGGAUAACUUCAGGAAACUGGGGCUAAUACCGGAUAGGAGCUCCUGCUGCAUGGUGGGGGUUGGAAAGUUUCGGCGGUUGGGGAUGGACUCGCGGCUUAUCAGCUUGUUGGUGGGGUAGUGGCUUACCAAGGCUUUGACGGGUAGCCGGCCUGAGAGGGUGACCGGCCACAUUGGGACUGAGAUACGGCCCAGACUCCUACGGGAGGCAGCAGUGGGGAAUAUUGCACAAUGGGCGGAAGCCUGACGCAGCAACGCCGCGUGCGGGAUGACGGCCUUCGGGUUGUAAACCGCUUUCGCCUGUGACGAAGCGUGAGUGACGGUAAUGGGUAAAGAAGCACCGGCUAACUACGUG
This 468-nucleotide ribosomal RNA is filed under the name uncultured bacterium. RNAcentral's name for it is "partial 16S ribosomal RNA". It matches the Rfam family "Bacterial small subunit ribosomal RNA", at positions 28 to 507 of the family's 1533-position model. The record is from RNAcentral.